UCGGCUUUCGUUGCUUCGUGUAAUAAAAGUAUAUUUUCAUACUACAAAAACUCUGGAAGAGAUUUUUAACAAGUAUAGUGAUAAUUAUCCACGACACUCACCAGACCAUCUUCACAGUGGACCUCUUCAAGUCCUCUGAAGACAUGAAGGUGUUGGUCCCAGGAUGCUCCCCUCAAGCAUUUGUGGGAAUGCUUGACGGAAGAACAAAGCACUUUGGCAGGUAUGGACAGACAUUAUGACACUACUGGCAAUGGGCUGUAAUAAGAGGAAGUUCGCCAACAUGGAUCGCAUGUUGGCAAAGAGAUAUGUGAAGAUGGCAACAAGAGGAGACAUCAGAUUCGGAAAAAAUUGUUGAGGACAAAGCAGCCUUGACAGCUGCCAUUGUUCAACUUCACGAGCAGCAGGCAGAGUUUAGGCUCCCCACAGUGGAUGAGCUGCUCAAUACUGACAACUUUGUGUGGCCAUGGGAAAGACUUGGCCCCAGCAACAGCCAUCUUGCCAUCAAAAAGGCAAUCUUCGACAGACUGAUGUUGGUGAAAAGACUGCAGGAGGAAGAGAGGAUCCUGGGGCAGGAGAUGAAGAGGCACUGGGGGAGCCUACAAAGAGCAGCGGGAACUGGAGGCACUGUCCCAACAGCUGCAAGAUCAGCGCAAUGCAGUGGAGUUGUCAGAGGGAGGGAGGAAUGGCCUUCUCUGCCAGCUGAAGAGAAGAUUGAGUGAACUGACACAAGACCAAGUCAAUACCAGGAAUACCUACCACAAGCUGAUUCUGGUAGAAGGGGAUAUUUUUGAUGACUCUGAUGUAGACGAGAACUCAGAUGAAGAUAGAAGUCCUAUUGCUGAGAGCUCAGAUGACGACUGCUAUGCUUUCUGAAAUCAUACACCACCCCUGCCUCUUUCUCUCGGUCGCCACCACCUCCCUUGGGAGCAGCCUGGUCUCCUGACGUUGACCCCUGACCCCUCACCUUCUGAACCCAUCCAGGGAAAUGUAAUUUGCCUGAUGACACGCUAGUGGAGAAGGAAUGUGUCAUUUCAGCACAUUUGUUGCCAUGUUUCCUCUCCUCUCCUCCGUUUCCUCCGGUCCUAGACUAUGGCGACAUCAUCAGCAACACAGACUCUUGGUUGAGGACCUCUUUACUGAGGAAUGUGGUUGUUCUUCAUGAUUGUUUUUUUGUAUUUUCUUGGAGUGUUUUCUAUGCUGCCGUGAUUGAGAUUUUGUGUAAUUGUGAGUUGCGAAAGAGUCCUUGGUCUCAAUGGGACUGCUAAAAUAAAUAAAUAAAGGUCUUAAUAAAUAAUUGCA
Molecule: long non-coding RNA, 1299 nt
Organism: Coregonus clupeaformis (lake whitefish)
Lineage: Eukaryota; Metazoa; Chordata; Actinopteri; Salmoniformes; Salmonidae
Exons: 5
Source: RefSeq, a predicted model, not a curated record